GCCAGUAGCUUCGUUCAGUUGCUUCAGUGGGAUAAAGUUACUCGAUGUGGAUUUUGUUCUGUAAACGUUCAACAAAUUUGCCAGCGAGUAGUUUGACACAUACGAGCAUGAGGUUCUUCUGGUAACAAGUUCUUGAUACGUCGAUAGGAUAAGUUUUAUAGAAAUGAGAUGAUCUUCUUAAGGGAGGCAUUUUUACAUCUUUGCACAGGUGUACUUUUGCGGCUGUACUUUUGUUAAUUGAAAGUGGAAUUACCCCAAUUGAUAACCAAAUUUUGUGCUCACUGCCGACAUGGGGUUGACGAUGACGUCCCAGAGCCCUUGCCUCUGCUUGAUGCUGCGUCGAGCAAGGUCCACCCCUGCUACCAAAUGCAUUUGGACUCGCAUAUUUCUAUCAUAGAGGAGUAAACCUACAAAUCUCAUCUCAUUCUUUCACAGAUGAAGCCAUCAGAUACGUGUGGUGUGUAGAGUCCGUUCUAAUCAAUGGAAAGGAAGUGGAGGAAGGGAAAUUGCCUACAGGUGAUACUGAUAACUUUAAAACCAUUACUAUGGUUACAAAAUGCGGUAAAUAUUGCAGACAAUGAUAACUUUAAAAACAUUACUAUGAUUACAAAAUGCGUAAAUAUUGCAGAUACUUCAUUUUUCCUAUUUGGUACAGUUAGAUCCUUAUUCGCUUACUUGUGAUGUAUUUCUGAUUGUUUUGACGUGUUCAUGAAUUGCAAAAUGGGGCUUCAAAUGCAUAUCAAAUCAUGAUUUCCAACAUGAUCGAUUUUCAUGUCUUUUUUGCAGAGUUAUUUACAUUUCAACCUGAUCACAAGGCCAUUAGAGAUUGGACUAUUCCACUCGGUCCGAACUACAUUAGGUCAAUUGUACAUUUUAUUUCAAGUUACGAAGAAUAUGAGCUGAGAACAUAUAGGAGCUCUAUGUGGUUUAAAUAUUUUUAGACGAAGUUUGAUGUACUUCUCAUGAAUAUCUUCGUAAACAGAAAUAAUGGUAAACCAUGCACUGCUACAUUAUGUUUCACCAGAAUCACUCUUUAUAAUAUCUUGUUGCUUUCAUGUUGUGGAUACUAAUUAUCUUCGGCAUCUACUAAGGUAAAGCUAAAUGUUUU
RNAcentral lists this long non-coding RNA (1108 nucleotides) under Triticum aestivum (bread wheat). RNAcentral's name for it is "long non-coding RNA (TAES_LNC024913)". The record is from RNAcentral. Lineage: Eukaryota; Viridiplantae; Streptophyta; Magnoliopsida; Poales; Poaceae.